Long non-coding RNA from Rhincodon typus (whale shark), 224 nucleotides. RefSeq lists it as uncharacterized. The record is from RefSeq and is a predicted model, not a curated record. Lineage: Eukaryota; Metazoa; Chordata; Chondrichthyes; Orectolobiformes; Rhincodontidae. The transcript is spliced from 3 exons.
CAGCAGUUCCGGUUGGUGUGGUUUUUUUUUCACUGAAGACCAAACAAAAGAGCUGAUUCUAAAGCGGACUGUGCGAUCUAGGAGCUCUCUGCCUCAGAAUGUGGUGAAAAUGGGAUCACAAGACUUUUUAUAAGUGGAGAUAGAUUCCUUUUCGGGAAGGUUACUAGAGGGAUCUGCAGGAGACUUUGCUGAUGGUCCACCAGAGCAUGGAAACUUGAGCUGAU